RNAcentral lists this ribosomal RNA (200 nucleotides) under uncultured bacterium. Its description in RNAcentral is "partial 16S ribosomal RNA". It matches the Rfam family "Bacterial small subunit ribosomal RNA", at positions 1293 to 1500 of the family's 1533-position model. The record is from RNAcentral.
UCGGAUUGGAGUCUGCAACCCGACUCCAUGAAGCUGGAUUCGCUAGUAAUCGCGCAUCAGCCACGGCGCGGUGAAUACGUUCCCGGGCCUUGUACACACCGCCCGUCAAGCCAUGGAAGCCGGGAGUGCCUGAAGUACGCGACCGCAAGGAGCGUCCUAAGGUAAAACCGGUGACUGGGGCUAAGUCGUAACAAGGUAAC